This 497-nucleotide ribosomal RNA is filed under the name uncultured bacterium. RNAcentral's name for it is "partial 16S ribosomal RNA". It matches the Rfam family "Bacterial small subunit ribosomal RNA", at positions 28 to 507 of the family's 1533-position model. The record is from RNAcentral.
GAUGAACGCUGGCGGCGUGCCUAAUACAUGCAAGUCGAGCGAACGGACGAGAAGCUUGCUUCUCUGAUGUUAUCGGCGGACGGGAGCGUAACACGUGGUUAACCUACCUAUAAGACUGGGAUAACUUCGGGAAACCGGAGCUAAUACCGGAUGAUAUUUUGACCUGCAUUGUUCCAACGUGAAAGACGCUCUUGCUGUCACUUAUAGAUGGAUCCGCGCUGCAUGAGUUAGUUGGUAAGGUAACGGCUUACCAAGGCAACGAUGCAUAGCCGACCUGAGAGGGUGAUCGGCCACACUGGAACUGAGGAACGGUCCAGACUCCGACGGGAGGCAGCAGUAGGGAAUCUUCCGCAAUGCGCGAGAGCGGGACGGAGCAAAACCGGGUGAGUGAUGAAGGUCUUCGGAUGGGAAAACUCUGUUAUUAGGGAAGUAGAUAUGUGUAAGUAACUGUGCACAUCUUGACGGUACCUAAACAGAAAGCCACGGCUAACUACGUG